AGUGAACGCUGGCGGUAGGCCUAACACAUGCAAGUCGAACGGCAGCACAGUAAGCUCUUGCUCUUACGGGUGGCGAGUGACGGACGGGUGAGGAAUACAUCGGAAUCUACCUUUUCGUGGGGGAUAACGUAGGGAAACUUCCGCUAAUACCGCAUACCACCUACGGGUGAAAGCAUGGGAUCUUCGGACCUUGCGCGAUUGAAUGCGGCGAUGUCGGAUUAGCUAGUUGUCGGGGUAAAGGCCCACCAAGGCGACGAUCCGUAGCUGGUCUGAGAGGAUGAUCAGCCACAUUGGAACUGAGACACGCUCCAGACUCCUACGGGAGGCAGCAGUGGGGAAUAUUGGACAAUGGGCGCAAGCCUGAUCCAGCCAUACCGCGUGGGGGAAGAAGGCCUUGGGGUGGUAAAGCCCUUUUGUUGGGAAAGAAAAGCAGCAUGUUAAUACCGCGCUGUGCUGACGGUACCCAAAGAAUAAGCACCGGCUAACUUCGUG
RNAcentral lists this ribosomal RNA (492 nucleotides) under uncultured bacterium. RNAcentral's name for it is "partial 16S ribosomal RNA". It matches the Rfam family "Bacterial small subunit ribosomal RNA", at positions 29 to 507 of the family's 1533-position model. The record is from RNAcentral.